Molecule: ribosomal RNA, 866 nt
Filed under: methanogenic prokaryote enrichment culture B19_18
Description: bacterial SSU rRNA
Rfam family: Bacterial small subunit ribosomal RNA
Source: RNAcentral
AGAGUUUGAUCCUGGCUCAGGAUGAACGCUGGCGACGUGGAUAAGGCAUGCAAGUCGAACGGUUGUAGCAAUACAACAGUGGCGAACGGGUUAGUAACACGUAGAUAUCAACCCUUUACUCGGGCAUAACCUGGAGAAAUCCAGGCUAAUUCCCGAUAGUCCGGCAACGGUAAAGAUUUUUCGGUAAAGGAUGAGUCUGCGUCCUAUCAGCUAGUUGGUGAGGUAAUGGCUCACCAAGGCAAUGACGGGUAGGCGGAGUGAGAGCUUGACCGCCAACAAUGGCACUGAGACAUGGGCCAUACUCCUACGGGAGGCAGCAGUCGAGAAUAUUUGACAAUGGGCGAAAGCCUGAUCAAGCGACGUCGCGUGUGGGAUUAAGAUCUUCGGAUUGUAAACCACUUUUCUAGGGGAAGAACUUUGACUGUACCCUAGGAAUAAGGGGUGACUAAACUCGUGCCAGCAGUAGCGGUAAUACGAGUGCCCCGAGCGUUAUCCGGAUUUAUUGGGCGUAAAGGGUCUGUAGGUGGUUUGUUAAGUUUCUCGUUAAAGCUCCAGGGCUCAACCUUGGAAAAGCGGGAAAAACUGGCAAACUAGAGGAUGUUAGAGGCUGAUGGAACACUUGGUGAAGGGGUGGAAUCCGUUGAUAUCAAGUGGAACACCAAAAGCGAAGGCAAUCAGCUGGGACAGUCCUGACACUGAUAGACGAAAGCGUGGGGAGAGAAAAGGAUUAGAUACCCUUGUAUUCCACGCCCUAAACGAUGAAUACUAGCUAUUGCAAGUGUCGACCUUGCAGUGGCGAAGCUAACGCGUUAAGUAUUCCGCCUGGGAAGUACGGCCGCAAGGCUAAAACUCAAAGGAAUUGACGG